GAUGAACGCUAGCUACAGGCUUAACACAUGCAAGUCGCGGGGCAGCAUGGGGGUUGCUUGCAAUCCCCGAUGGCGACCGGCGCACGGGUGAGUAACGCGUAUCCAACCUGCCCUUCACCACGGGAUAACCCGGCGAAAGUCGGACUAAUACCGUAUGUUGUCCAUUGACGGCAUCCGAUUUGGACGAAAGGUUUGGCGGUGAAGGAUGGGGAUGCGUCCGAUUGGCUGGACGGCGGGGUGACGGCCCACCGUGGCGACGAUCGGUAGGGGUUCUGAGAGGAAGGGCCCCCACACUGGAACUGAGACACGGUCCAGACUCCUACGGGAGGCAGCAGUGAGGAAUAGUGGUCAAUGGGCGUAAGCCUGAACCAGCCAAGUAGCGUGCAGGAUGACGGCCCUAUGGGUUGUAAACUGCUUUUAUGCGGGGAUAAAGUGGCCCACGUGUGGGUUUUUGCAGGUACCGCAUGAAUAAGGACCGGCUAAUUCCGUG
RNAcentral lists this ribosomal RNA (490 nucleotides) under uncultured bacterium. RNAcentral describes it as "partial 16S ribosomal RNA". It matches the Rfam family "Bacterial small subunit ribosomal RNA", at positions 28 to 507 of the family's 1533-position model. The record is from RNAcentral.